RNAcentral lists this ribosomal RNA (253 nucleotides) under uncultured bacterium. RNAcentral describes it as "partial 16S ribosomal RNA". It matches the Rfam family "Bacterial small subunit ribosomal RNA", at positions 524 to 776 of the family's 1533-position model. The record is from RNAcentral.
UACGAAGGGGGCUAGCGUUGCUCGGAAUCACUGGGCGUAAAGGGUGCGUAGGCGGGGCUUUAAGUCUGGGGUGAAAUCCUGGAGCUCAACUCCAGAACUGCCUUUGAUACUGAAGAUCUUGAGUCCGGGAGAGGUGAGUGGAACUGCGAGUGUAGAGGUGAAAUUCGUAGAUAUUCGCAAGAACACCAGUGGCGAAGGCGGCUCACUGGCCCGAUACUGACGCUGAGGCACGAAAGCGUGGGGAGCAAACAGG